This 381-nucleotide ribosomal RNA is filed under the name uncultured cyanobacterium. RNAcentral describes it as "bacterial SSU rRNA". It matches the Rfam family "Bacterial small subunit ribosomal RNA", at positions 376 to 770 of the family's 1533-position model. Lineage: Bacteria; Bacillati; Cyanobacteriota. The record is from RNAcentral.
CGAAAGCCUGACGGAGCAAUACCGCGUGAGGGAUGAAUGCCUAUGGGUUGUAAACCUCUUUUUUCAGGGAGGAACAAAAUGACGUGUACCUGAAGAAUGAGCAUCGGCUAACUCCGUGCCAGCAGCCGCGGUAAGACGGAGGAUGCAAGUGUUAUCCGGAAUCACUGGGCGUAAAGCGUCUGUAGGUGGUUUAAUAAGUCAACUGUUAAAUCUCGAGGCUCAACCUCGAAAUCGCAGUCGAAACUAUUAGACUAGAGUAUAGUAGGGGUAAAGGGAAUUUCCAGUGGAGCGGUGAAAUGCGUAGAGAUUGGAAAGAACACCGAUGGCGCAGGCACUUUACUGGGCUAUUACUAACACUGAGAGACGAAAGCUAGGGUAGCA